Molecule: ribosomal RNA, 413 nt
Filed under: uncultured bacterium
Lineage: Bacteria
Description: bacterial SSU rRNA
Rfam family: Bacterial small subunit ribosomal RNA
Source: RNAcentral
GUGCCAGCAGCCGCGGUAAUACGUAGGUGGCAAGCGUUGUCCGGAAUUAUUGGGCGUAAAGCGCGCGCAGGUGGUUUCUUAAGUCUGAUGUGAAAGCCCACGGCUUAACCGUGGGGGGUCAUUGGAAACUGGGAGACUUGAGUGCAGAAGAGGAAAGUGGAAUUCCUAGUGUAGCGGUGAAAUGCGUAGAGAUUUGGAAGAAAACCAGUGGCGAAGGCGACUUUCUGGUCUGCAACUGACGCUGAGGCGCGAAAGCAUGGGGAGCAAACAGGAUUAGAUACCCUGGUAGUCCAUGCCGUAAACGAUGAGUGCUAAGUGUUAGGGGUUUCACGCCCCUUAGUGCUGCAGUUAACGCAUUAAGCACUCCGCCUGGGGAGUACGACCGCAAGGUUAAAACUCAAAUGAAUUGGCGG